AUGAACGCUGGCGGCGUGCCUAAUACCUGCAAGUCGAGCGAACAGAUGAGGAGCUUGCUCCUCUGACGUUAGCGGCGGACGGGUGAGUAACACGUGGAUAACCUACCUAUAAGACUGGGAUAACUUCGGGAAACCGGAGCUAAUACCGGAUAAUAUAUUGAACCGCAUGGUUCAAUAGUGAAAGACGGUUUUGCUGUCACUUAUAGAUGGAUCCGCGCCGCAUUAGCUAGUUGGUAAGGUAGCGGCUUACCAAGGCAACGAUGCGUAGCCGACCUGAGAGGGUGAUCGGCCACACUGGAACUGAGACACGGUCCAGACUCCUACGGGAGGCAGCAGUAGGGAAUCUUCCGCAAUGGGCGAAAGCCUGACGGAGCAACGCCGCGUGAGUGAUGAAGGUCUUCGGAUCGUAAAACUCUGUUAUUAGGGAAGAACAAAUGUGUAAGUAACUAUGCACGUCUUGACGGUACCUAAUCAGAAAGCCACGGCUAACUACGUG
RNAcentral lists this ribosomal RNA (496 nucleotides) under uncultured bacterium. Its description in RNAcentral is "partial 16S ribosomal RNA". It matches the Rfam family "Bacterial small subunit ribosomal RNA", at positions 29 to 507 of the family's 1533-position model. The record is from RNAcentral.